RNAcentral lists this small RNA (95 nucleotides) under Pongo abelii (Sumatran orangutan). Lineage: Eukaryota; Metazoa; Chordata; Mammalia; Primates; Hominidae. The record is from RNAcentral.
GAAGACCUACAAACAGCCAACAAAUGUGAGAAAAAGCUCAACAUCACAAAUCAUCACAGAAAUGCAAAUCAAAACCACAAUGAGAUACCAUCUCU